GUCCACGCCGUAAACGAUGGAUACUAGCUGUUGGGCGCAAGUUCAGUGGCUAAGCGAAAGUGAUAAGUAUCCCACCUGGGGAGUACGUUCGCAAGAAUGAAACUCAAAGGAAUUGACGGGGGCCCGCACAAGCGGUGGAGCAUGUGGUUUAAUUCGAUGAUACGCGAGGAACCUUACCAAGGCUUAAAUGUAGAUUGACCGGACUGGAAACAGUUUUUCGCAAGACAAUUUACAAGGUGCUGCAUGGUUGUCGU
This 254-nucleotide ribosomal RNA is filed under the name uncultured bacterium. Its description in RNAcentral is "partial 16S ribosomal RNA". It matches the Rfam family "Bacterial small subunit ribosomal RNA", at positions 793 to 1055 of the family's 1533-position model. The record is from RNAcentral.